GUAGGGGUUAACAUGCCUGCCUGUCACGCAGGAGAUCGCGGGUUCAAAUCCCGUC
RNAcentral lists this transfer RNA (55 nucleotides) under Listeria monocytogenes. RNAcentral's name for it is "tRNA-Asp". It matches the Rfam family "tRNA", at positions 12 to 64 of the family's 71-position model. From Rfam's summary of the family: Transfer RNA (tRNA) molecules are approximately 80 nucleotides in length. Their secondary structure includes four short double-helical elements and three loops (D, anti-codon, and T loops). Further hydrogen bonds mediate the characteristic L-shaped molecular structure. tRNAs have two regions of fundamental functional importance: the anti-codon, which is responsible for specific mRNA codon recognition, and the 3' end, to which the tRNAs corresponding amino acid is attached (by aminoacyl-tRNA synthetases). tRNAs cope with the degeneracy of the genetic code in two manners: having more than one tRNA (with a specific anti-codon) for a particular amino acid; and 'wobble' base-pairing, i.e. permitting non-standard base-pairing at the 3rd anti-codon position. Lineage: Bacteria; Bacillati; Bacillota; Bacilli; Caryophanales; Listeriaceae. The record is from RNAcentral.